UGAUCAUAACGGUGAAAAAAUCACAUCAAACGGAAAUCCGAAAGGGGCUCAUCGGAGGCAAAAAUUGAGACACCCCACGGUGGCACCGUUGGGCUUCAGCGGCGUUUUCCGGCCAAUUGGCCAGUGCUUUCGCUUUGAUUUGGCCAUAAGUGGGUUUAGAAUCAAAUUCUGAGCAAAGGGUAGAAUUUUUACCUCAUUUGACGGUCGAAAAUUGCUCCGGUACGGCGGCGGGUAGUGGUGGUCGGCUCCCCAGCGGCU
Molecule: long non-coding RNA, 258 nt
Filed under: Carica papaya (papaya)
Lineage: Eukaryota; Viridiplantae; Streptophyta; Magnoliopsida; Brassicales; Caricaceae
Description: long non-coding RNA (CPAP_LNC007256)
Source: RNAcentral